GGUAAAGUGGCUGAGGUAAGCGGUGGAUUGUAGCCCCAUAGACAGAGGUUAAAAUCCUCUCUUUACUA
This 68-nucleotide transfer RNA is filed under the name Danacetichthys galathenus. Its description in RNAcentral is "tRNA-Tyr". It matches the Rfam family "tRNA". From Rfam's summary of the family: Transfer RNA (tRNA) molecules are approximately 80 nucleotides in length. Their secondary structure includes four short double-helical elements and three loops (D, anti-codon, and T loops). Lineage: Eukaryota; Metazoa; Chordata; Actinopteri; Beryciformes; Cetomimidae. The record is from RNAcentral.